ACGAACGCUGGCGGCGUGCUUAACACAUGCAAGUCGAACGGUGAAGCGCCUUCCUUUUUGGUGGGUGUGGAUGAGUGGCGAACGGGUGAGUAACACGUGAGUAACCUGCCCCCUUCUUCUGGAUAACCGCAUGAAAGUGUGGCUAAUACGGGAUAUUCUGGGUCUGUCGCAUGAUGGGUCUGGGAAAGAUAUUGUUUCGGUGGGGGAUGGGCUCGCGGCCUAUCAGCUUGUUGGUGGGGUGAUGGCCUACCAAGGCGGUGACGGGUAGCCGGCCUGAGAGGGUGGACGGUCACACUGGGACUGAGGCACGGACCAGACUCCUGCGGGAGGCAGCAGUGAGGAUUAUUGCACAAUGGGCGCAAGCCUGAUGCAGCGACGCCGCGUGAGGGAUGGAGGCCUUCGGGUUGUGAACCUCGUUCGCCAGUGAAGCAGGCCUGCCUCGUUUGUGGGUGGGUUGACGGUAGCUGGAUAAGAAGCGCCGGCUAACUACGUG
RNAcentral lists this ribosomal RNA (493 nucleotides) under uncultured bacterium. RNAcentral's name for it is "partial 16S ribosomal RNA". It matches the Rfam family "Bacterial small subunit ribosomal RNA", at positions 29 to 507 of the family's 1533-position model. The record is from RNAcentral.